CGGGACACGUGGUAUCCUGUCUGAAUAUGGGGGGACCAUCCUCCAAGGCUAAAUACUCCUGACUGACCGAUAGUGAACCAGUACCGUGAGGGAAAGGCGAAAAGAACCCCGGCGAGGGGAGUGAAAAAGAACCUGAAACCGUGUACGUACAAGCAGUGGGAGCCUCUUUAUGGGGUGACUGCGUACCUUUUGUAUAAUGGGUCAGCGACUUAUAUUCUGUAGCAAGGUUAACCGAAUAGGGGAGCCGAAGGGAAACCGAGUCUUAACUGGGCGUUAAGUUGCAGGGUAUAGACCCGAAACCCGGUGAUCUAGCCAUGGGCAGGUUGAAGGUUGGGUAACACUAACUGGAGGACCGAACCGACUAAUGUUGAAAAAUUAGCGGAUGACUUGUGGCUGGGGGUGAAAGGCCAAUCAAACCGGGAGAUAGCUGGUUCUCCCCGAAAGCU
This 446-nucleotide ribosomal RNA is filed under the name Escherichia coli. RNAcentral's name for it is "partial 23S ribosomal RNA". It matches the Rfam family "Bacterial large subunit ribosomal RNA", at positions 418 to 867 of the family's 2925-position model. Lineage: Bacteria; Pseudomonadati; Pseudomonadota; Gammaproteobacteria; Enterobacterales; Enterobacteriaceae. The record is from RNAcentral.